Long non-coding RNA from Oncorhynchus tshawytscha (Chinook salmon), 281 nucleotides. RefSeq lists it as uncharacterized. The record is from RefSeq and is a predicted model, not a curated record. NCBI's taxonomy places the organism in Eukaryota, Metazoa, Chordata, Actinopteri, Salmoniformes, Salmonidae. The transcript has 4 exons.
CCGGGGGUCUUCCAGGACCAGAGGGAGAACAAGGACCCCAGGGGCCCACAGGACUGGUAGGACCUCAAGGAGACCUAGGAGAACUGGGUCCUCCAGGCCGGCCAGGUCUCAACGGGGCUGAUGGGAUACCAGGUCCUCCAGGGAACAUCCUCGUUGUUCAGUUCCAGGCAGGUGGUGUCCAACUAACAGGACCAGUGAUAUCAGCCCAGGAGGCUCAAGCCCAGGCCAUCCUACAACAGACCAAGGUAAAGACAGCAACAUCACUGUAACAUCACCUUAUA